AGUGAACGCUGGCGGCAGGCCUAACACAUGCAAGUCGAACGGCAGCACAGUAAGAGCUUGCUCUUACGGGUGGCGGGUGGCGGACGGGUGAGGAAUACAUCCGAAUCUACUUUUUCGUGGGGGAUAACGUAGGGACACUUACGCCAAUACCGCAUACGACCUACGGGUGAAAGCAGGGGAUCUUCGGAUCUUGCGCGAUUGAAUGAGCCGAUGUCGGGUUAGCUAGUUGGGGGGGUAAAGGCCCACCAAGGCGACGAUCCGUAGCUGGUCUGAGAGGAUGAUCAGCCACACUGGAACUGAGACACGGUCCAGACUCCUACGGGAGGCAGCAGUGGGGAAUAUUGGACAAUGGGCGCAAGCCUGAUCCAGCCAUACCGCGUGGGUGAAGAAGGCCUUCGGGUUGUAAAGCCCUUUCGUUGGGAAAGAAAAGCAGCAGGUUAAUACCCCGCUGUUCUGACGGUACCCAAAGAAUAAGCACCGGCUAACUUCGUG
RNAcentral lists this ribosomal RNA (492 nucleotides) under uncultured bacterium. RNAcentral's name for it is "partial 16S ribosomal RNA". It matches the Rfam family "Bacterial small subunit ribosomal RNA", at positions 29 to 507 of the family's 1533-position model. The record is from RNAcentral.